Non-coding RNA from Gyrodon lividus, 126 nucleotides. The record is from the annotation of a GenBank genome assembly. NCBI's taxonomy places the organism in Eukaryota, Fungi, Basidiomycota, Agaricomycetes, Boletales, Gyrodontaceae.
GGCCGACUAGCUCAGUUGGUUAGAGCGUCGUGCUAAUAUCUGAUUUGACGGCUGUUUCUUGGCAACAUGGGAUGGCUGACGGGUCAUGUUACGCGAAGGUCUUGGGUUCGAUCCCCACGUUGGCCA